RNAcentral lists this unclassified non-coding RNA (1802 nucleotides) under Cyanidioschyzon merolae strain 10D. RNAcentral describes it as "hypothetical transcript". Lineage: Eukaryota; Rhodophyta; Bangiophyceae; Cyanidiales; Cyanidiaceae. The record is from RNAcentral.
AGCUUCGUGUUCGCCAUCUCGUGCACCAGACUCGCUCUGCUUCACGCUCGUUUUCUCGGCAGGUUCCGGCUCGUACUCGCGCCCGUGAUGCACCCUUUUGUGGUCUCGAAUCCAUCGAUGGGAAUCGUGCAGGAAUCGAUUCUGGAGUUGUUGAGUUGUUGCAAGCUUUCGUCGAAGGCACAGGGCGGUACCCGUCGCACGCUACAGCGUGUCCAGCGCCCUACGCUACCACCGAGCGACGCGACUUGUCAGGCCCAGCCUUUUCCAUUUCAUUCCGGAAGUUGGUGAAUGCGCGAUUCUUGCCUCUGCGCAACCGCAUCGCGGUCUCUUGGACGCUUGCCGGAGACCUUUCGCAUCAGCAGAGUGAACGCUCAAGAGCACACUGAAUGAGGCACGGGAAGCGUCCGUCUCUCCCGGACGCGGUGCACGGGGUGUCGAGACGGCUCACGCUGCCGUCAGUCAGCUUGCUGGCGGUUUGUCUCUCGGCACCCAUCGGAUCUGAACCGCAAUCACAUAGAGUCCUGGGGAAGUUGCGCAGGUGUAUCCACUUUCAGUUCAUAUCUUCGGACAAGUCCUCUCGAUUGAGCGGUAUGGCGGCGGUCAUGAUAUAUUCUGCAAACCGGGAACAACGCUCACCACAGAGUCUGGCUCCUCACUUGCCAUGAACAGAUGAAAACGAGGGUCGCUGUGCGACUGAGGCAUAGGUUUCACAAAGUGCACGCUCGCUGGUAUUCCAUCGGUCUCCAUGGUCGCUGGAAACCGCUUCUCAAGUGCUGCUUGCAAAGGAGAAACCUGGAACGAGCUCCGCCGAUGCCCUACGCGAAGCUGUUCGCAAGAAGCACAGUUGCUCGCAGAGAUCAGCUGCAGCUUACUCAGGAGGAUAUCAAGUAGGCGGCGCAAGGAUCUAUGCCGACAUCAUGGGUCUGUACCCGACGUACAGAGAUGACAUGGAGUAGACGCUUCGGGAGACAAGGUCGCUCGGGUUCGGGGAGGGCGCCUCUACCGCGCUGCACCACUAGGCUCUGUGCUGCUCUGCAGCGCUCUGCUCUGGAAUACGUCGCAGCGCAAGACGCUAGUAGGGCAGGCGUCACGUCUCAAGUAUCCUUCGCGCACGACGGUUACCAGUCCGAGACCGAGAGCAACACGAUGCGCUUGGGUGGUAUAAAACGUGUGUCGCUCUCGUUGCGACAGCUCUUCUGAACCCGCUCCAUCUCGACCGCUGGUGGCUCCACCAGCUCGCCAUCUGUCUUCAUGAACAGACCCAAGAAAACCUUUCACCAGCGCCCAGUUUCCUGGGCCAGUAAGCGAAUGCACAAAGGUCACAGGGUGCGCUUCACCAGGCGCUCCAGACUGGCUUGCAUACUGUUUUCGUGUUCGAACCUAGUUUCGUACGUUUUGGCACCGGUUUCAUCGAUGUUGUCAUAGAGGACGCGGUGCGACGAAGCGUGACGUUAGUCUGGGAAGUGUUUGUGUGCUCAUCCCGUAUCCGAUUUUCAGACCUUGAGCCGUCUUGAGUCGCGAGCGUCAGCUGUGCUGCAUCACGAGGGUUUCAUCGAAACACUGCACAGAACUGAGGACCGCUCGCAACUCAGGUACCGUAACGCUUAUGAGCAACUGCUAGGCAAGAAGUGUCAAGACUAAAGAAGCUACGUAACCAAUCAUGGCAUCCUGCAUCUUUCGGUGCCAAGCUUGUGAUCGACUUGUGCUCUGACCUCUGAACGUAAAUGGUUUUUGAUGACAGCGUACAUGACAUUGACCGGAUUAAACUAGGGAGCGUAGACCGACACGAAGAGCCGCUCAAC